CUUAACACCUUGAGGCAGACGCUAACUGACUCUCAUCGGCCGUCCGGAAACCUGAGAGCGCAGAGCGACCACAGGUGUUCAAAAGCUGGAUGCCUGUCUGCUCUUGUUAUCCGAUCCUUGCGUGCCGAUUCUGUGUGCGUCUGUGUGUGCGCUAUAUUUGGCUGAGUCCGUCUGGCUGUAAAAUCUCACACUGUUAUCGCGCGUAAGCCUUAUCUGGCUGUGGGUCGGGAGGAGCGGUUUACGCUCGUCUCGCGACUCGAGUUGGGAAGAUGUGUUCCGCAAAAUGCUUGAGUGGAUUUUCAUCCGCCAUGGAUUGGCGUCCGAUUGAGUUCAUGGACCUCCCUUCCGUCCGAUCCUGUUCUUUAUGCAACGUGGUUCCCAAGGAGACAUUUCUUCUGGAAUGUUGUCAUGCACUCUGUGGCCAAUGUUAUCAGGUCGUCCUUCGUGGCAAUCAACGUUGCCCACUCGAUGGAGAAAGCACACAAGAAAGCGAAGCGCAAGUAUGCGUGUUCAAGCCGAAUCACCUCGAGAAAUGCAAAAUGCGCUGUUGCAACUCCAGCAACGGGUGCGACUUCGUUGGGAAUAUGGAGCAAGUGAAGAAUCACUUCCUAAGUGGCUGUGCCUUCCAUGUUGUGUCGUGUAACAGGUGCAAUGCCGCAGUGCUGCGCGGUGAUAUCGUCAGUCAUUACGGCGGACAACAAUGCAAGAGUUCGUCAUCCAGCGGACGUGAAGCAGGAGAUAACGAAGGAGUCGUGAACAUCGGCCGGAAAAUCGACGCCUCGCUGGACGCUAUCGCUGAGAGAAUUUGCGCGAUUGAAACUCAGCUCAACAAUCAUACCGCCGGCGUCGAAGGCGCGAAGCAGUGCACGUCUGCAAAUAAGCAGCUAUUGGAUCAACUUCUCGAGCGGCUGGAACGUACAGAUGGAGCGCUAAGAAAUGCAGCGACAAAUCUGUUGUCGAGAGAGGACCUCAAGGGAACACUCGAAGUCGGUUCGAAGACAAUCAAUGAGGGAACAGGGCAAGGGAGGGCAGGGAACGCCGCAAGCGGUGCGCAGGAUAACCGUGGAAUAACCAGCGUGGCUACCGAUGAAAUCAUUGAAAAACUGAACACUAUUGGACGGCAGCUGGACACAAUGGAGCAUAUUGUGAAAGCAGGAACGAAUCAGGCAGUGUGGCAUAUUCGGGGCAUUACUGAACUUGCGUCCAAGUCCAAGGAGCGAGGGGGCCUAAAGCAUUACUCGGAUGUAUUCGUCCUUUGUGGUUAUUCUGUGCGAAUGCAACUAAUGUUCGUCGGCAGUGAGGAUGAGACCGUCCACUUCUCCCUCCAGAUCUGCCAGAGCGCAUACGAUUCUUUCCUAAAGUGGCCAUUUUGUACGUCUUGCGACUUCACACUGGUGAACCCCCUUAACAACGGACGUAAACUAUUUAGUUCCAAAGGUAUCUGGAUAUAUCGGCCAGCAGGCCGCAUUCUCAACACAAAAGUCAGCUGGCAACAACAGCUACCAGUUACGUUCUACGGAAUCCCAGCUGAUUGGUUGUAUGAGAGGCCCCGGAUGGUGCCGGCUGUGCUGUCCCCAGGGCGUCAGUCGUGACGUUGCCCACAUACGUGAGGCCGACAACGGCAAGCCGUUUCACCAUCACCACCACCACCGGCUGUGCUGUCUGGGGUUUUUCCUGGGUUUUCCUCAGACGCUUUCAGACAUAUGUCGUGACAGUUCCCUUAGAAGUCGGCCCAGGACGCACAUUUCCCCAGGGCGUCAGUCGUGACGCUGCCCACCUCUGUGAGGCCGACAACGGCGAGCCUUUUCACCACCACCACCACCGGGCAGACGACAUACGGCCAGUGUUUCCGUCUGCUUCUGUCCUGAUUCCGAACUUUCAAAGUGCUCCUAAUUGGUCUACGCGGCAUUUGUUGUCAAGGGUGCCGGUUGAUAAUGUCUGCAGUGUGCCUUACUGCAAGAAUAUCUCAAUGAAGGAUCCGAAUAUUUCGUUUUACCAUACCGAAGACGACGAUGUACGGAGCGAAAGUGGCAACCUACGGUUGCGAGCUAUCAACCGUGGGAUAAAACUGAAAACAGCGUGUCAUGUCUGUUCGAUGCACUUCUCAGACGACGCGUAUGUAGUACGACGUAGUGAUAUCUUCAAAGCAAGAGUGAGCAUGCCAAGGACAAAGAAGAAAAGAAAAAGUCGCUAAAAGUCCAUGUUGUGCCGACCGUCUUUUUAUGAAUCCUAUGGAGAAGAUAUAUGAAAAGUGAAACCCAUGCAUAUUCCAAGCCCAUCGAUGGACAUUUGCGCUUUUGACACAGUGACAGGUAUAAGCAUUAGACUUUCUGCAGUACAUGAGUUCGAGGUUUCGUGGACACUAACUGAAUUAAAACUACUACGGUAGUUAUGAUACUAAGCCAUUGACAGGAGUAUACUUUGACGCGGUCACUCCCAGUUGCUGUUUUCGUUUCCUGAGCGCAUGAAAUCAUUAUUUUACGCCUCUUAUUUUCGUUUUCUAGUGUAUAUUUAGGUGUAGCAGUGGACCAAACCGUAAGCCAGUGUGGAUUCCUCAGCACACUUGUGUCAUAUCUGCAGCGGUUCUAACCGGCCAUUUGCUUGCGAUUUAUGUAAUAUGAAUUAUUACAUUAUGUCAGUGCUUUCUUUCACAGCUGCUCAGACUAGCUUCAUUCAACGCUUCCACACAGACUGGCUUGAGUCUCAAUCCUUCCUGUACACUCUCCCCAAUAUAGGAUCAGCUCACUGCCCUGGCAAUUUAUGGCACAAAGGACACAGGAGUGCUUGUGGUACAGGAGUGCUGCAACUGUAAACAAUAGCUACUCACAACACAUCAGCAAUGCACAGUGUCAAGCAGCGGCUUCCGUAUCUUCAUAAUUCAAUACCACUGUACCAUCUGAAGGGAAAGGUGCUGCAUCGUGGGUUCGUACAAGAACUCCCUGACAUCAUCCGAACGAAUUUCCACGACGGCAUUCUUGCAGCGAAGAGUAACUCCAGCCGUUCGAAAAAUCCUGUCGAAGGUGAUAACGAUACCACCAAGGUAACGAUAUUGGUACCAAGGUAACGGUACUGACGAAACACUUUGUCUGACCAACGAUAACUAAAAUACAUAAGAGCUAAUAACUGAAACAUCUACAUAUGCACAUUAUAUGCUACACAUGCAUAAUUUUUAUGCAUAUGCAAACACAGGAUGUAUUCUAUUUUACACUGUCACACAGCUCAUUUAACAACUGUAUUGGCACCAAUAUUACCAGCAAACAAGGGCUGAAGUAGCUGCACGGGGUUUACACGAUGCCCAGAGCAAGUUGAACUGGUUGAACACAGCAGUAUACACCACUGAUAUGGUAAUGGCUGGUAAGAUUAUUUUUGGUAACGUAAAACAAAGCGCAGAGUUGUAGCAGGAACAAAAUCUUUUGAGGACAUAGUGCAUCAAACAUAGGUUUCUUUAUUUUAGAGGUGAACAGCAGAGCACUUGCUGAAGUUGUUCCUGCAUGUUACCCUGGUAAAAGACUUCAGCUGCCCAUCCUGCCCAGCAUGGGCCGCCCAGGUUUGGGAGAAGAAAAUGAAUGACACAGUAUGCAACUCCAGUUCCGGUUAAUGCAAAUGGAUGUAAUCCACCAGAGUAAUGAUUAUAGAAUAAGGAACAAAAGUCUGCACCUCUUAAAAGCAUCCUAGCUUAUUCAGGUGUAAACAAGAACCUGUCCCUCUCAGUAUCAUAUUUGUGCACAUGCCCUGCUGGAAAUAGUAGGCACGAUCUCAUUCAUUUCUUCACGAAAUUUUAAUGAGACUGCUAAUUCGUUCAACAUGUGAAAGCCGACUCUUUCUCAUUGACUGAAUUGGAAGUCAAGCAGGGAAGCUGUCUUCGCGAAACCGGGCUCCGCCGUGUUGUGUGGCGAAGACCACAUCAACGAAGUAAGGAACCAAUUCAACGAAUUGGUUUAGUGGGCGUCAACGAUGAUUGAUUGAUUGAUUUUUAAAAUAUAAAAAUUGAAAUGUUAGUCUCUGCGUCAACGAAAAACGCUGAUUUCCAAUUGAUUUAAUGAGAUCCGACAUGUUGUGUAUUACAGACUGCGCCAAUAGAAGGAAUGAGGAACUAGCCUAAUGUGUAUCAAUGAAAUCUUCUUUCCAGUUGAUUUAAUGGGAUCCAACAUGUUGCAUUGCCGCCACUACAAUAAUUGAGACGUCAGUUGUUGAAGGAACGAGUGUAAUGAUGACCAACGGUACAUCAUCACUCUCAAAUUAAGUAAUAAUAUAUGAAUAUGAAGAACGCUGUACGUUCGUGUCGACGAUGAACUAAUUUGACCAAAUUCGAACAAAUGAAACUCCAGAACACGAAUCGUAUAGAAAAUAUUGCAAGUGAAAUUUGAAUGAAAAUUUGAAAUUAAAAUUUAUUCCGAACAAAUCAACUGAGGAGGCGAGCAGACCGCCGGCCGCGAUGUCGCCAAGAGGGCGCGUUGUAUUACAUUUCUGUGCCGCACCACAUAGUGGCCCGUGUGACUUGAAAAUAGUUCGCGUUAUUUCAAAUGUUUGUGAACAUAUUAUCCUCAAAAGUACAUAUGCCGUGGUACCUUUGUAUUACACCCCUUACUGUAAGCUAUUGUUAAAGCAUUCCGUACAAGAUUCAGUGGAUAUAUGUGGACGCGUUCUCAGGAAGCGCCGGGACCACCACCAACGGAUUAAUCAGUCUCUCACGAAAUGUUGGAGCGUUAGGAUGUGUGUGGUCGCUCACAAGUAGUUGGCGUUAUCAGUGCUUGAUUUCGAGGAUUUUAUCAUCGAGGAUUAUUAUUUAAGGUAGUCGAUUUGUCAAGCAUUCCAGUUUUUUCAACGCCGCUUUGCAUGUUUUUACCCCUGCUCGCAGGCACUACGGCCGUUGAUGGGAGGAUCGUGCAGUCAAUGUGUUGCCACCCGCGCUGUGUGCAACGGUAUGAAAUAUAUUUUGACGCUCACUUACGUUGACAUGCUACUGUUUCAGCACCUUUUACAUUAUCUUUCGAGAUGGUAUUACUUGAAGGUUACCCUCGUACCCUCGACGAGGCUGGCAUAGGGGCGACGGCAUUUGUCAGCAGGUGGUCAAAACGGAAUCUCAACGAAGCUGGAUAUGGCCUUCAUUUUCACGCAAGAAAGGCAGGCUGGACGGGGCAUUAGAAAUCUCCUACGAAACACAGAAGAACGUUAUGCCAUCGAGCUUUUUUUUUUCGUCGGCACUGUUCGGACAUGGAGAUACAUCUCUAUGAACUUACUCAUUGUGGGUUUAUGUUGCGUGUGUUGAUGAUGGACAGAAUGCUUUCACAACAUGUAGACACACACGCACACAUAAAUGGAACGAUGAUGUGGUGGGUCAUUCUCCGCUGUUAACGCGGUACACUACCCCAUUGCGCUUGUGGAAGGGAUGAGAAAGUGAUGAUGAUGGAAAGGUGUCCUAAGUGCUCAUUUAGGUUUCUAUUCUUUGUGUUUACUAUGUCCUGCUAGUGAUUUUUAACCGCUUGGUGAAUAUUCAGUCAUAUAGAAAACGUCACAAAUAACUUGCACGUUUGUAUCUGCCACUUGCAAUAUUUUCACAUCUACUUAUUGUUGUGAAUUUCAAUGUGACUUUAAUGGGGAAAUCCUUGCUGUUGACAUUUGGCCAAUGGGAAACUAGGCUGGCCUCCAAUGGGUGCGACCGAGCGCUGUUCCACUUCGUUCCUAUUGACAUUUACAAUGAUUUCUUAUUAAAACCCACUAAAUUCGUGUUGUUUUCAAUAUGGUAUUUGUCCAAGACUGUCAAUUCGGAAUGAGAAAUUUUGGUCACCUUCCAUGAGAAUUGUGGAUGUGAUAUCCACUUAAACCGAAUGAGAUUUCUGGUCUAUUUUCAAUUGGAGUAUUUCCAGCAGGGCGAUCAAGUAAACUGAAAUCAAAUAAGAAAAAAAACUUGUGAACAAUAUACAGAGCCCGAACGGUAGGCAAGACAAUGCUGCAAAGAGAAAUCCGGAAGGAGGCUGCACAGCAUUUGUCUGCUCUGAAUAGUGGGUUGGAGUGAUCAUGCCGUCUCACCUCAGGGGUUUCAGGCUCCGCUCAGGAAGUUACCUGUAAACAUGAAAGCAGAUGAGUGAAGAGAAAAGAACGGAUAUAUAUGUUCAAUAUGUUACAUAAGUAUUCUGUUGAAUUAUGGUUUUUAAGAUCAUGCUAAACGAAAUCUAUUUUUAUCAACAGUGCACCACCUGAGUUUCGUGACUAUAGACUCAGGAACUUCUAUUUUGUCCUUUUUUUUUACUACCUCUCUCCCCCUUGUGUGCCGUAAGCGGCCGCAAGGUUCCAAGUCACGCAGAUGAGAACUAACCCAUUUACACAAUCCUGAAAUCUCUGAUAGCAUUUGAACCACACGGACUGAGAGAUCUUCGUUAGCUCCAAUAAUGAAAAGUACGCACACUUCUGCGCCGUUUAGGUGGAUGUUCUUUUCCCGGUGUGGACAGGUAUUGUGAUGGCUCUACAGCUUGAUUCAAACGACACUGAGCCCGGUAACCAGUACGUUGAAGAGAUUCAGCGUCCCCUUCGUAAUCUAAAUGUUCGCUACAAACACGAGCAAUCGAUAGCACCGCACCGUCUUUCCAUUCCGGCCGUCCGAUUGCUUUGUGGCAUCAAAAGCUGUCCGUCUCGUCACUGGGAAGCAUAUGACAUUGGAUGCCAGGCCAAUAUUGACGUGAAAUGGGGCAACCAACCAUCCAACAUCGUAUUGGCAUGUCGGCGAAAACCACAGGAUGCGACUAUACGAUAGACUCCGACCAUCGCGCGGAAGCUGGCGUCAUCAAGAUUUCCACUCGCGAUGAACGCAUACGCGGGAUCCUACGGCUCAUGCUCUCGGCGGGACCACGACACGUAACCGUGACGUGUCGCGGACCCAGCCGUGAUCCCGUCAAGUUGUUCCCUGUGUCUCCGCGCGGCAGUUCGCCACGGCGCGAAGCUCCUUUCGCCGCUCCGUUCAAAUUCGCUCCCGAGAAUACUCCUCGCAUGACGAAGGUAAAAUUUUGGUUCUAGACGCAGAAAAAUGUUUUCUUUCUGAUGGAAAUGAGGAAAAAAUCAUUUCAUAGUCCCUUUAAGCUAUUGUUUCUGCAUUCAGUACAACAUUCUAGUGCAUGUAAGUGAAAGCAUUUUGCCCACUCUCCAACGGAUUAGUCUGUUGCGAAAUGCCGAAGUGUUCGAACGUACGCUGUGCCUGGCUGUGGCUCACAAGCAGUUGGCGUCAUUCGGGCUACAUUUGAUGUUUUAUCAGUUUCUAAAGUAUGUAGUCGAUGUGUCAAGCAUUCCUGUUCUUUGUACGGCGUGUCAUGUUUUUACCCUGCUCGUAGGCAUUACCAGCGCUGAUGGGAGGAGAGCAAGAUGUGCAGUCAGACUUUUACCACCCGCGCUGUGUGCAACGGUUAUGCUCGUACGACGCGGCUGGCAUCGGGGCGUCGGCAUUUGUCAGCAGGUGGUCAAAACGGAAUCUUACCGAAGUUGGACGGCGUUAAUUUUCACGCAAGAAAGGCAAGCUGGACGGGACAUCGCAAAUCACCUACAAAACACAGAAGAGCCUGAUCACCGUGGCAUUCAGUGCUUCAAGAUUUUUUUUUUCGUCGGCAUUGUUCGGGCAUCUGGUAUACAUCCCUAUGGAUUUAUGUUGUGUGUUGACGAUGGACCGUAUGCUUUCAAAACAUGUAAGUGCUGAAUCAAGUUUCUGCUCUUACUAUGUCUUGCUAGCGAUUUUUAACUGAUUGGUGAAUAUUCACACUUAUACAAAGCAUCUGAAAUAACUUCCACCUUUGUAUCUGCCACUUGUAAUGUUUUCAUAUUGAUACGGGCAGCACAGCGUGGUGAUGGCAAUGGUCUAAUGGACAGAAUGAGAAUGACCGCGUGGCUCGCGCCCGUCCCUGCCGACACCGUCGUCGUCGUCGUAACAUUGCCCCUCUCCCCGAGGCGUGCCCUCCGGGACACGACAGAUGAAGAAUGCCAUGCUGCCGGGGUCACAAUAGGUGAUGUGGUCGAUGGUCGGCGACGGUGUGGUCGGUGAUGGGAAUGGCUCGAUGCGGUGACGUUCGAAGGAUGGACGGGUGGGCGACGAUGGGACGACGGUGGAAUGACGCUGUGCUGCCUCCACAGGGUCGGGGCCGAGGGUAUCCUCCACUGAGCGCUGUCGUCGCGGGCGUCGUUGGGCGUCUUCGGGGCUGGGGGCAUCUUCAGGGCUUACUCAUUGUCGUCUCCGGUCGUCGUCGUCUCUUGUGGUCCUAGGGUCGGGGCUAUGGGGCGUUGAUGGCCAGAACAACAGCGCUUCGAAGAAGUGCCCCGCACCUCCACCAAAUGAUACGGGCAGCACAGCGUGGUGAUGGCAAUGGUCUAAUGGACAGAAUGAGAAUGACAGUGCGUGACACGCGCCCGUCCCUGCCGACACCGUCGUCGUCGUCGUAACAAUAUCUACUCUAUUGUUAUAGAUGUAAAAUGUAGGUAAUAAUAAUGUAAUA
Ornithodoros turicata is the source of this 8471-nucleotide RNA transcript. RefSeq lists it as uncharacterized. Lineage: Eukaryota; Metazoa; Arthropoda; Arachnida; Ixodida; Argasidae. The transcript has 5 exons. The record is from RefSeq and is a predicted model, not a curated record.